RNAcentral lists this ribosomal RNA (253 nucleotides) under uncultured bacterium. Its description in RNAcentral is "partial 16S ribosomal RNA". It matches the Rfam family "Bacterial small subunit ribosomal RNA", at positions 524 to 776 of the family's 1533-position model. The record is from RNAcentral.
UACGAAGGGGGCUAGCGUUGCUCGGAAUCACUGGGCGUAAAGGGCGCGUAGGCGGCCUGAUAAGUCGGGGGUGAAAGCCUGUGGCUCAACCUCAGAAUUGCCUUCGAUACUGUUAGGCUUGAGACCGGAAGAGGUAAGUGGAACUGCGAGUGUAGAGGUGAAAUUCGUAGAUAUUCGCAAGAACACCAGUGGCGAAGGCGGCUUACUGGUCCGGAUCUGACGCUGAGGCGCGAAAGCGUGGGGAGCAAACAGG